GCAGCAGUGAGGAAUAUUGGUCAAUGGACGCAAGUCUGAACCAGCCAUGCCGCGUGAAGGAUGAAGGCCUUAUGGGUUGUAAACUUCUUUUAUAGGGGAAGAAAACUACGCUUUCUACGGUAACCGACGGUACCCAAGGAAUAAGCACCGGCUAACUCCGUGCCAGCAGCCGCGGUAAUACGGAGGGUGCAAGCGUUAUCCGGAUUCACUGGGUUUAAAGGGUGUGUAGGCGGGCAUUUAAGUCAGUGGUGAAAUCUCCGAGCUCAACUAGGAAACUGCCAUUGAUACUAUUUGUCUUGAAUAUCGUUGAGGUAGGCGGAAUAUAUCAUGUAGCGGUGAAAUGCUUAGAUAUGAUAUAGAACACCGAUUGCGAAGGCAGCUAACUAAGCGAUGAUUGACGCUGAGGCACGAAAGCGUGGGGAUCRAACAGGAUUAGAUACCCUGGUAGUCCACGCCCUAAACGAUGAUUACUCGACAUACGCGAUCCACAGCGGUGUCCGAGCGAAAGCAAUAAGUAAUCCACCUG
This 526-nucleotide ribosomal RNA is filed under the name uncultured bacterium. Its description in RNAcentral is "bacterial SSU rRNA". It matches the Rfam family "Bacterial small subunit ribosomal RNA", at positions 348 to 875 of the family's 1533-position model. The record is from RNAcentral.